GACGAACGCUGGCGGCGUGCUUAACACAUGCAAGUCGAACGGAAAGGCCCUGCUUUUGUGGGGUGCUCGAGUGGCGAACGGGUGGGUAACACGUGAGUAACCUGCCCUUGACUUUGGGAUAACUUCAGGAAACUGGGGCUAAUACCGGAUAGGAGCUCCUGCUGCAUGGUGGGGGUUGGAAAGUUUCGGCGGUUGGGGAUGGACUCGCGGCUUAUCAGCUUGUUGGUGGGGUAGUGGCUUACCAAGGCUUUGACGGGUAGCCGGCCUGAGAGGGUGACCGGCCACAUUGGGACUGAGAUACGGCCCAGACUCCUACGGGAGGCAGCAGUGGGGAAUAUUGCACAAUGGGCGGAAGCCUGAUGCAGCAACGCCGCGUGCGGGAUGACGGCCUUCGGGUUGUAAACCGCUUUCGCCUGUGACGAAGCGUGAGUGACGGUAAUGGGUAAAGAAGCACCGGCUAACUACGUGCCAGCAGCCGCGGUGAUACGUAGGGUGCGAGCGUUGUCCGGAUUUAUUGGGCGUAAAGGGCUCGUAGGUGGUUGAUCGCGUCGGAAGUGUAAUCUUGGGGCUUAACCCUGAGCGUGCUUUCGAUACGGGUUGACUUGAGGAAGGUAGGGGAGAAUGGAAUUCCUGGUGGAGCGGUGGAAUGCGCAGAUAUCAGGAGGAACACCAGUGGCGAAGGCGGUUCUCUGGGCCUUUCCUGACGCUGAGGAGCGAAAGCGUGGGGAGCGAACAGGCUUAGAUACCCUGGUAGUCCACGCUGUAAACGGUGGGUACUAGGUGUGGGGUCCAUUCCACGGGUUCCGUGCCGUAGCUAACGCUUUAAGUACCCCGCCUGGGGAGUACGGCCGCAAGGCUAAAACUCAAAAGAAUUGACGGGGCCCCGCACAAGCGGCGGAGCAUGCGGAUUAAUUCGAUGCAACGCGUAGAACCUUACCUGGGUUUGACAUGGAUCGGGAGUGCUCAGAGAUGGGUGUGCCUCUUUUGGGGUCGGUUCACAGGUGGUGCAUGGCUGUCGUCAGCUCGUGUCGUGAGAUGUUGGGUUAAGUCCCGCAACGAGCGCAACCCUUGUUCACUGUUGCCAGCACGUUAUGGUGGGGACUCAGUGGAGACCGCCGGGGUCAACUCGGAGGAAGGUGGGGAUGACGUCAAGUCAUCAUGCCCCUUAUGUCCAGGGCUUCACGCAUGCUACAAUGGCUGGUACAGAGAGUGGCGAGCCUGUGAGGGUGAGCGAAUCUCGGAAAGCCGGUCUCAGUUCGGAUUGGGGUCUGCAACUCGACCUCAUGAAGUCGGAGUCGCUAGUAAUCGCAGAUCAGCAACGCUGCGGUGAAUACGUUCCCGGG
RNAcentral lists this ribosomal RNA (1343 nucleotides) under uncultured bacterium. RNAcentral describes it as "16S ribosomal RNA". It matches the Rfam family "Bacterial small subunit ribosomal RNA", at positions 28 to 1378 of the family's 1533-position model. The record is from RNAcentral.